GAUGAACGCUGGCGGCGUGCCUAAUACAUGCAAGUCGAGCGAACGGACGAGAAGCUUGCUUCUCUGAUGUUAGCGGCGGACGGGUGAGUAACACGUGGAUAACCUACCUAUAAGACUGGGAUAACUUCGGGAAACCGGAGCUAAUACCGGAUGAUAUUUUGAACCGCAUGGUUCAAAAGUGAAAGACGGUCUUGCUGUCACUUAUGGAUGGAUCCGCGCUGCAUUAGCUAGUUGGUAAGGUAACGGCUUACCAAGGCAACGAUGCAUAGCCGACCUGAGAGGGUGAUCGGCCACACUGGAACUGAGACACGGUCCAGACUCCUACGGGAGGCAGCAGUAGGGAAUCUUCCGCAAUGGGCGAAAGCCUGACGGAGCAACGCCGCGUGAGUGAUGAAGGUCUUCGGAUCGUAAAACUCUGUUAUUAGGGAAGAACAUAUGUGUAAGUAACUGCGCACAUCUUGACGGUACCUAAUCAGAAAGCCACGGCUAACUACGUG
This 497-nucleotide ribosomal RNA is filed under the name uncultured bacterium. Its description in RNAcentral is "partial 16S ribosomal RNA". It matches the Rfam family "Bacterial small subunit ribosomal RNA", at positions 28 to 507 of the family's 1533-position model. The record is from RNAcentral.